AACGAACGCUGGCGGCAGGCCUAACACAUGCAAGUCGAGCGAGGACUUCGGUCCUAGCGGCGGACGGGUGAGUAACGCGUGGGAACGUGCCCUUUGCUUCGGAAUAGCCCUGGGAAACUGGGAGUAAUACCGGAUGAGCCCUUUGGGGGAAAGAUUUAACGACGAAGGAUCGGCCCGCGUUGGAUUAGGUAGUUGGUGGGGUAAUGGCCUAUCAAGCCGACGAUCCAUAGCUGGUUUGAGAGGAUGGUCAGCCACACUGGGACUGAGACACGGCCCAGACUCCUACGCGAGGCAGCAGUGGGGAAUCUUAGACAAUGGGGGAAACCCUGAACGAGCCAUGCCGCGUGAGCGAUGAAGGCCUUAGGGUUGUAAAGCUCUUUCAGCUGGGAAGAUAAUGACGGUACCAGCAGAAGAAGCCCCGGCUAACUCCGUG
RNAcentral lists this ribosomal RNA (433 nucleotides) under uncultured bacterium. Its description in RNAcentral is "partial 16S ribosomal RNA". It matches the Rfam family "Bacterial small subunit ribosomal RNA", at positions 29 to 507 of the family's 1533-position model. The record is from RNAcentral.